Molecule: unclassified non-coding RNA, 4443 nt
Filed under: Gigantopelta aegis
Lineage: Eukaryota; Metazoa; Mollusca; Gastropoda; Neomphalida; Peltospiridae
Description: glutamate carboxypeptidase 2-like, transcript variant X2
Source: RNAcentral
GUGACAUCGGACAGGUGUUCGGCGAGAGUUCAGUAGACCGCCGCCAGUAGCCCGCGUAAGACAAAAACCGAAAAACGACGACAAAAGGAUGGCGACUCACGGACACUAUAGGUUGUAUCCACAUCGUUCGUGGGACGUUGAUGUCAACAACGACGACGACGGCCACACUAGCCUUUUAGGAACUACUUCGGGAGUGUCCAACCCAACCGCCGCCGCAUCGUCGAACAAGUCGAACAAGUUGUUCAGUUUCUGGAGUGUUUUUCUCGUGUUGUUGAUAGCCGGCGUUCUGUUUUUAGUGGGGUUCUUCCUGGGAUAUUUCGUGAGGGAGAGUUUCGAGGAUCGAGAGAACAUCACCGCAGAGUACAGGCGUUACCAGUUCGAUGAAGCCAAACUGGAAGCUAUCCAUGAAAAUGUUAUGUACUUCAUAUCCAGAGAUCCUGACAGAAUUAAAACUUUUUCCAGGGAGUUUGGCACGGCCGACCCUCUCACUAACAGUGUUUUGGAGAAGAAACUGGAGCACACCGUCUAUCAACAGCUGGUCAACUACAACUUCGACAGCGUCGACAUAGAGGACUACAACGUUGUUGUCACCUACCCAGAUCCCAACCGCCCGAAUCGUCUGGAGGUGCUCGAUCAGUCCGGAUCCGUGCUGGCCAAUUUCACACUGAAGAACGCUGUUACAAGGGGACAUAAUCCUGUUAUCAAGACUGUAGGUGUGAAGAGCCAUUAUGCAAAGUAUCCCUAUGUGGCAUUCUCUAAAGCAGGAUCGGCAGAGGGUGGCUUGCUGUUUGGUCACUAUGGGCGACAGGCUGACCUGCUGGAACUGAAGCAUCAUGGGAUUGAUGUCACUGAUCAUCUGUUGUUGCUCCGACUGGGAGAGAUCUCCGUUGAUGAAAAGGUAUCCGUAGCAGAAAAAGCUGGAGCAGGUGGAGUGUUGUUGUAUUGGGAUCCAUCAGAAGGCAACACUGACGUUCCACACAACAGGUCUCACAUACCGUACGCUUCUGCCAGACCGGAGACCGGAAAUGAUCUGCACAACAUACCUGUACAGACUGUGUCGGCCAACAUGGCUGCCUGGCUGUUUGGACACAUGGGAGGGGAGUCGGCCCCACAACACUGGAUGGGUGGACUGAACGUCGUGUACAUGCUCGGACGUCCAAGUAACGAAACAAAAAAUUUCAAGCUGACAUCAUACAACAAAGAAGAGGAACAGUCAGUACGGAAUGUCAUUGGCAGUAUCCAUGGUUACCUGGAACCAGAUCGCUAUAUAUUGAUUGGAGCGCCGAGAUCUGGUUUCCCAGGCUCGUCUAACGAUGCGGUCCUGGCGACGUCGAUGUUGUUACAGCUAGCCCGCAGUCUGGAGUAUGUGUACAACCUGGAGAACUGGAAACCACGGCGGGGGAUCAAGCUCGUCUCCUGGGGGGGACAUGAGUUCUCACAGGCCGGGAAAACAGAGUAUAUCAAGGCAAAUUCUCACCUCCUUGACAGAAGAGCUAUUGCCUACUUUGACCUGAGCCAGAUGACCCUGGGUAAUCACUCGGUGAGAGCGGAGGCAUCCCCUGGGUUUUACACCAUGAUCAGACAGGCGGCGGCAAGAGUACCAGAUCCUACAAAGACUGAGUCGACAAUUGCUGAUGCGUGGCCUUCACCAGUGGACCUGAAGAAUAUUCAGAAUGGUGAUGCGCCAGUUUACACGUUUCAAAGACACACACAGAGCAAUCCCUUCCUGCAGCUUGUAGGAAUUCCAGAACUCCACGUGCAGUAUGUGGGAAAUCAUACACCUUCCGGUUCCAGCGUGACAAACAUGGCCACCCUGGAUGUACACCAUCACUUUAAAUACCACAUAGCCGUGACUAGAGUUAUCACUCUUGCUGCACUCCACCUGGUGGACGAUGCCGUUUUGCCGAUCUCUCUCAGAGACUACGCGGAAGACCUUCACCUGGUGAUGUGGCAAACAUCAGGCGAGCUGAAGCACUGCUCGACACAGAUGGAGGACUUAGAAUCAGAGGUGUCAGCUGCCGAAGAUUUGCUGAAGAUAGCCACUGCGUUUGACGAUUUCAUCAAAAUCUACGAAGAGAAUUCCGACAAGCUGGGAAUUCACUCAACAAACGAAGUCAAAAUGAUGUUUGAACGAAUCUUCAUCACUGCUUCACGUCAUAAAAGGCAUCACUUACUCUACCCUCAAGUGUUUGAUGGAAGAAUCACGACCUUGUCCGAGUUGUGUCACGUGGCGAGGUUUACCAAUGACUGGGUCGCCGUUCACAGUUAUAUCUCCGCUUUGAAGACCGCAUUACAAGAAGCAGCACGGUGCUUGAGAACUAAUGAAUGAACAAAGUCGACAAUUACAAUGAGUGUUUUAAAUUGUAAUAACCGUUCAUUGAUGAGAGCAGAGCAGCUUUCAGAGUUACAUUACUAGAUGCAUUGCAAUGAUUGAGAACCAACGAAUGAACAAAGUCGACAAUUACAAUAAGUGUUUUAAAUUGUAAUAAUCAUUCACUGAUAAGAGUAGGAGUUACAUUACUAGAUGCAAUGCAGUGAUUGAGAACUAACGAAUGAACAAAGUCGACAAUUAUGCGGAGUGUUGUAAAUUGUAAUAACUGUUCGUUGGUGAUACCAGUUUUCAGAAUUACAUUGCAAGAUGCAAUGCAAUGUUUGAGAACUAACGAAAAGUCGAGUGUUUUAAAUUGUAAUAAUCAUCUGUGGGUGAGACCAGUUUUGAGAGUUACAUUACAAGAUGCAGUGCAAUGUUUGAGAACUAACGAAAGAAGAACAUUUGGAGUUACGUUGAGUGAUAAAUUGUAAUAAUGUGUUGUUGCUGAGAGCAGUUUUGAGAGUUACAUUACAAGAUGCAAUGCAAUGUUUGAGAACUAACGAAUGAACAAAGUCGGGAAUUAUGCGGAGUGUUAAAUUGUAAUAAUCGUUCACUUAUGAGAGCAGUUUUCAGAGUUACAUUACAAGAUGUAAUGCAAUGAUUGAGAACUAACGAAAAGUCGAGAAUUACAGUGAGUGUUUUAAAUUGUAAUAAUCGUUCACUGAUGAGAGCAGUUUUCAGAAUUACAUUACAAGAUGCAAUGUAGUGAUUGAGAACUAACGGAUGAACAAAGUCGAGAAUUACAAUGAGUGUUUUAAAUUGUAAUAACUGUUCGUUGGUGAGAGCAGUUUUCAGAGUUACAUUACAAGAUGCAAUGCAGUGAUUGAGAACUAACGAAAAACAAAGUCGAGAAUUAUGCUGAGUGUUUUAAAUUGUAAUAAUCGUUCGUUGGUGAGAGCAGUGUUCAGAAUUACAUUACAAGAUGCAAUGCAAUGUUUGAGAACUAACGAAAAGUCGAGUGUUUUAAAUUGUAAUAAUCAUCUGUGGGUGAGACCAGUUUUGAGAGUUACAUUACAAGAUGCAGUGCAAUGUUUGAGAACUAACGAAAGAAGAACAUUUGGAGUUACGUUGAGUGAUAAACUGUAAUAAUGUGUUGUUGCUGAAAGCAGUUUUCAGAAUUUCAUUACAAGAUGCAAUGCAGUGUUUGAGAACUAAUGAAUGAACAAAGUCAUGAAUUAUUUUGAGUGUUAAAUUGUAGUAAUUUGUCGCUGAUGAUAGCAGUUUCAGAAUCACAUUACAAGAUGCAAUGCAGUGAUUGAGAACUAACGAAUGAACAAAGUCAUGCAUUACAAGAUACAAUGUUAUGUUAGAACUAAUGAAGGAAAACACGUGGAGAUAUGUUGAGUGAUAAAUUGUAAUAAUUUGUCGAUGGUGAUGGAUUACAUUGCAAGAAGCAAUUCAGUGUUUGAAAACAAAUGAAUGAACAACAUAUGGAUUAUGUUGAGGGAUAAAUUGUAAUAACCAAUCAUUUAACUUGGCGAUACCAGUUUUCAGAACUAUAUUACAAGAUGCAGUGCAAUGUUUGAGAACUAAUGAUUGAACAACAUCUGGUUAUGUUGAGUGUGGAGUGGAGCGGAUAAGUUUUAAUGUGCAUAUGUAUGUGCCACUAGAGCUUCACACAUGCUUGUCAUGGGCUUAAUCUCUCUUAUGUUGAGUGACAAAUUGUAAUAACUGUUCGCUGGUGAUAGCAGUUUGUUUCUGAGAAUUGCAUUACAUGGUGCAAUGUGAUGUUUGAGAAUGAAACAACUCUGAAGUUACGUUGAGUGGUAAAAUGCAAUAACCGGUGACUAGUGAGAGGAAUAUUGACGUCUGUCUUACAGUUAGCACUGUGACCAUCAAAUCUGGUUAGGACUCGAUUCAGAAGUGGGAGUUCCGUGUUCAACUGACUGAGCUAAUACAUAUAAGCAUGCACGCACAGACAGAGAGACAGAGAGAGAGAGAGAGAUGCAAUUUCAUGCAUCCUACAAAUAAAGGAGCAGGACGUAGCCCAGUGCUCCACAACUGGUGUAACAAAGGCUGUGGUAUGUACUAUCCUGUCUGUGGCAUAUAAAAGAUCCCUUGCUGCUAAUCGA